GGGCUUGUACUGGUUUCGACGGGGGCUUUGAAGUUGGGGAAGCCAUCCGCAGACUCUUGGACUGCGUACCAACCAGGAACCUAAAUAUAAACGCAAACGAACAGUACGCGUUAGCAGCCUAAGUGCUGCUCGUCAGCCCUGACGCACUCACACAUCAGGAAUCUGGCGCCGACUAUGUGAGAAACCUUGCCGGGUAAGCUUUGCCCCGGUAGAUGUAUUAUGAAGCUACUGAAGCAGUAAGCCUGUCGGUGGGCGUACUGCCAAGGGAAUGUUAAAUCAGCGACUGUGAUGGGAGAUGCCGCAAGGGAUAGGCUUUCGGACGCGGGUUCAAUUCCCGCCAGGUCCACUA
Molecule: transfer-messenger RNA, 349 nt
Filed under: Lachnospiraceae
Lineage: Bacteria; Bacillati; Bacillota; Clostridia; Lachnospirales
Also listed under: 4 other names
Description: Blautia_A caecimuris Standard tmRNA
Rfam family: transfer-messenger RNA
About the family: Bacterial tmRNA, also known as 10Sa RNA or SsrA, is named for its dual tRNA and mRNA-like properties. Its role is to liberate the mRNA from a stalled ribosome.
Source: RNAcentral